RNAcentral lists this transfer RNA (91 nucleotides) under Campylobacter lari. RNAcentral describes it as "tRNA-Ser". It matches the Rfam family "tRNA". From Rfam's summary of the family: Transfer RNA (tRNA) molecules are approximately 80 nucleotides in length. Their secondary structure includes four short double-helical elements and three loops (D, anti-codon, and T loops). RNAcentral also lists the same sequence under 1 other name. The record is from RNAcentral. Lineage: Bacteria; Pseudomonadati; Campylobacterota; Epsilonproteobacteria; Campylobacterales; Campylobacteraceae.
GGGGAAGUACUCAAGUUGGUGAAGAGGACACAUUGCUAACGUGUUAGAGGAGGCAACUCCUGCGGAGGUUCGAGCCCUCUCUUCCCCGCCA